UUCUAAUUCUCAUAUCUCUUCAGAUAAUGUCUUUGUUGUUAUCGUGUUGUCGUUAGCUUUGCGAUCGGUUCUUUUCCUUGAUUUCUUUAUUGUUGCUUAAUUUCUCUGAUUUCAGAUUGUUCAUUUCUCUGUGCUGAAUGCAUGUGUACUGAUUGCAUAACUCCUGCAUGACGCUGAUAAUGAAACCUUACUGACGCAAAUCCUGGUCUGACUAGUUCAAGCACAUUGAGAUAACAAUGGAAGAAUACAAAGAAGACCAGCAAGCCAAUUAUACCCAAAAAAAAAAA
Long non-coding RNA from Cucurbita maxima (winter squash), 287 nucleotides. RefSeq lists it as uncharacterized. The transcript has 2 exons. Lineage: Eukaryota; Viridiplantae; Streptophyta; Magnoliopsida; Cucurbitales; Cucurbitaceae. The record is from RefSeq and is a predicted model, not a curated record.